This 263-nucleotide long non-coding RNA is filed under the name Capsella rubella. RNAcentral describes it as "long non-coding RNA (CRUB_LNC003429)". The record is from RNAcentral. Lineage: Eukaryota; Viridiplantae; Streptophyta; Magnoliopsida; Brassicales; Brassicaceae.
AAAUAUAGAAAAAUAAAGAAAGACCAACGACCAAUUUCUAGUCCCAAACAAACUAAUAUAUUCUUGUCGCUGUCCUAUUUAUUAAUAUAGAACGAGGCAAAAAAAAAAAAAAAAAAAAUGAAUCUUCUAAGAACGUAACAACUGUCCCCAACGAACGACAUCGUAUGAGAGCUUGAAAGAACCUUCCAUGGACCUUCUCAGUCCAUUACCUUUAUAAACCCCUCUCACGAGUAUUUAUAUUUCUCCACUUCAUUCGUUUCCCA